Molecule: ribosomal RNA, 243 nt
Filed under: uncultured bacterium
Lineage: Bacteria
Description: partial 16S ribosomal RNA
Rfam family: Bacterial small subunit ribosomal RNA
Source: RNAcentral
GACGAACCGUACAAACGUUAUUCGGAAUCACUGGGCUUAAAGGGUGCGUAGGCGGCGGUGCAAGUUGGGUGUGAAAUCCCUCGGCUCAACCCGAGGAACUGCGCUCAAAACUGCAUUGCUUGAGGGAGAUAGAGGUGAGUGGAACUUAGGGUGGAGCGGUGAAAUGCGUUGAUAUCCUAAGGAACACCAGUGGCGAAAGCGACUCACUGGGUCUCCACUGACGCUGAGGCACGAAAGCUAGGG